GGAAAGUCCCCGUGCUUGUGGGCGGAGAGCGCCGGCGGGAGACCGCGCCGCUCAGGCCGCGGCGCGAGCGGCGAACGCCACCAGCGGACCUGCAGCGCCUCGGCCUGGGCCGGUUCGCACGAGCACAGCCAUCUCGUGAGCACCCGCGAGGGUGCCAACUGAACGGGGCUCACUCUG
This 177-nucleotide non-coding RNA is filed under the name Alexandrium andersonii. The record is from RNAcentral. Lineage: Eukaryota; Dinophyceae; Gonyaulacales; Pyrocystaceae.